GAUGAACGCUGGCGGCGUGCCUAAUACAUGCAAGUCGAGCGAACGGACGAGAAGCUUGCUUCUCUGACGUUAGCGGCGGACGGGUGAGUAACACGUGGAUAACCUACCUAUAAGACUGGGAUAACUUCGGGAAACCGGAGCUAAUACCGGAUAAUAUUUUGAACCGCAUGGUUCAAUAGUGAAAGACGGUCUUGCUGUCACUUAUAGAUGGAUCCGCGCUGCAUUAGCUAGUUGGUAAGGUAACGGCUUACCAAGGCAACGAUGCAUAGCCGACCUAAGAGGCGGAUCGGCGACCCGAGAACUGAGACACGGUCCAGACUCCUACGGGAGGCAGCAGUAGGGAAUCUUACGCAAUGGGCGAAAGCCUGACGGAGCAACGCCGAGUGAGUGAUGAAGGUCUUCGGAUCGUAAAACUCUGUUAUUAGGGAAGAACAUAUGUGUAAGUAACUGUGGACAUCGUGACGGUACCUAAUCAGAAAGCCACGGCUAACUACGUG
RNAcentral lists this ribosomal RNA (497 nucleotides) under uncultured bacterium. RNAcentral's name for it is "partial 16S ribosomal RNA". It matches the Rfam family "Bacterial small subunit ribosomal RNA", at positions 28 to 507 of the family's 1533-position model. The record is from RNAcentral.